This 281-nucleotide ribosomal RNA is filed under the name uncultured bacterium. RNAcentral's name for it is "partial 16S ribosomal RNA". It matches the Rfam family "Bacterial small subunit ribosomal RNA", at positions 337 to 635 of the family's 1533-position model. The record is from RNAcentral.
UCCUACGGGGGGCAGCAGUAGGGAAUAUUGCUCAAUGGGGGAAACCCUGAAGCAGCAACGCCGCGUGGGUGAAGAAGGUUCUCGGAAUGUAAACCCCUAUUGUUAGAGAAGAUAAUGACGGUAUCUAACGAAUAAGCACCGGCUAACUCCGCGCCAGCAGCCGCGGUAAUACGGAGGGUGCAAGCGUUACUCGGAAUCACUGGGCGUAAAGAGCGCGUAGACGGGAUAGCAAGUCAGAUGUGAAAUCCUGUGGCUUAACCAUAGAACUGCAUUUGAAACUG